This 497-nucleotide ribosomal RNA is filed under the name uncultured bacterium. RNAcentral's name for it is "partial 16S ribosomal RNA". It matches the Rfam family "Bacterial small subunit ribosomal RNA", at positions 28 to 507 of the family's 1533-position model. The record is from RNAcentral.
GAUGAACGCUGGCGGCGUGCCUAAUACAUGCAAGUCGAGCGAACGGACGAUAAGCUUGCUUUUCUGAUGUUAGCGGCGGACGGGUGAGUAACACGUGGAUAACCUACUUAUAAGACUGGGAUAACUUCGGGAAACCGGAGCUAAUACCGGAUAAUAUUUUGAACCGCAUGGUUCAAAAGUUAAAGACGGUCUUGCUGUCACUUAUAGCUGGAUCCGCGCUGGAUUAGCUAGUUGGUAAGGUAACGGCUUACCAAGGCAACGAUGCAUAGCCGACCUGAGAGGGUGAUCGGCCACACUGGAACUGAGACACGGUCCAGACUCCUACGGGAGGCAGCAGUAGGGAAUCUUCCGCAAUGGGCGAAAGCCUGACGGAGCAACGCCGCGUGAGUGAUGAAGGUCUUCGGAUCGUAAAACCCUGUUAUUAGGGAAGAACAUAUGUGUAAGUAACUGUGCACAUCUUGACGGUACCUAAUCAGAAAGCAACGGCUAACUACGUG